This 497-nucleotide ribosomal RNA is filed under the name uncultured bacterium. Its description in RNAcentral is "partial 16S ribosomal RNA". It matches the Rfam family "Bacterial small subunit ribosomal RNA", at positions 28 to 507 of the family's 1533-position model. The record is from RNAcentral.
GAUGAACGCUGGCGGCGUGCCUAAUACAUGCAAGUCGAGCGAACAGACGAGGAGCUUGCUCCUCUGACGUUAGCGGCGGACGGGUGAGUAACACGUGGAUAACCUACCUAUAAGACUGGGAUAACUUCGGGAAACCGGAGCUAAUACCGGAUAAUAUAUUGAACCGCAUGGUUCAAUAGUGCAAGACGCUUUUGCUGUCACUUAUAGAUGGAUCCGCGCCGCAUUAGCUAGUUGGUAAGGUAACGGCUUACCAAGGCAACGAUGCGUAGCCGACCUGAGAGGGUGAUCGGCCACACUGGAACUGAGACACGGUCCAGACUCCUACGGGAGGCAGCAGUAGGGAAUCUUCCGCAAUGGGCGAAAGCUUGACGGAGCAACGCCGCGUGAGUGAUGAAGGUCUUCGGAUCGUAAAACUCUGUUAUUAGGGAAGAACAAAUGUGUAAGUAACUAUGCACGUCUUGACGGUACCUAAUCAGAAAGCCACGGCUAACUACGUG